AAUCGUCAAAUAUCACUGCAGUCUGCAUUGAACAAAAUUUUAUUUACAGAAAAGUCGCGGCCAAAAUCAAGAAAGGUCAGCGGUAAUUUCACGCAAGUAAUCUGUAUAAUUGAAAUCGGAUACGUAGAGAAUCGGAGAAAUUGGAAAGGCCUGAGCAAGAAAUCGAUCGAUAUUGGCAGAUGUCGUCGAAGAAAACAAUGAUGAGUCGUGGGGGUUCCAGAAGAAACGACGAGUCCUUCGUAACUCGGAUGGUCAACUCAGUUUUCUCCUUUGUUCGUUUAGCUGAGUUCGAGAUUCUCUUUGUUCUCUUCUUCCUCAUCGCUUUUCUCCUCUUCAAAGAUCUGACUGCGAGGCCAGAAUACAACCAGAUUCUUGUAAAGAAGCCUGGAGCAGCUGAGUGGUGGAACUAUUAGGAUGUAUGCAUAUAUAGUCCAUAACUCCAUAUAAACAUGUUUUUUUUUAACAGGAUUAAAAUUAUAUUGUAAUGAUUUGUUUGGGUC
Daucus carota subsp. sativus is the source of this 500-nucleotide long non-coding RNA. RefSeq lists it as uncharacterized. The record is from RefSeq and is a predicted model, not a curated record. The transcript is spliced from 2 exons. NCBI's taxonomy places the organism in Eukaryota, Viridiplantae, Streptophyta, Magnoliopsida, Apiales, Apiaceae.